This 253-nucleotide ribosomal RNA is filed under the name uncultured bacterium. RNAcentral describes it as "partial 16S ribosomal RNA". It matches the Rfam family "Bacterial small subunit ribosomal RNA", at positions 524 to 776 of the family's 1533-position model. The record is from RNAcentral.
GACAGAGGGUGCAAACGUUGUUCGGAAUUACUGGGCGUAAAGCGAGUGUAGGCGGUCUCGUAAGUCGGGUGUGAAAGCCCUGGGCUCAACCCAGGAAGUGCACUCGAAACUGCGAGGCUAGAGUACUGGAGAGGUUGGUGGAAUUCUCGGUGUAGAGGUGAAAUUCGUAGAUAUCGAGAGGAACACCGGUGGCGAAGGCGGCCAACUGGACAGAUACUGACGCUGAGACGCGAAAGCGUGGGGAGCGAACAGG